GAGAUGGGAGUCCACUAUUAGGAUCCCACCACAGGAAACAGAUUACAGCAAUUCUUCUUCCAAGAUAAAGAAGAGCAAGAACAUCGCUUAUUUGAGAAAGAAGAGCAAGAACAUCGCUUAUUUAGCAUCAACCUGACUUUAUGCCUCUGUCGGUGUUGCGCUAACUACUUCAACUAUAAGAUGUCCUGUAGUGGGGAGGGCUUUGACUCUAUUAUAUGCUAGAUGCUAGACGAGAGAUGGAUUCCAUUCCACAAUUCCUAUUAGCACGUCAGAGAUUCCACUUCCAUUACCGUUUUCCUCGCCACUCGACUCUCAAUAAGGAUUCCAUUACAGCAAUAAAUUGGAUCUCCUAGACUCACUUAUGCACUCGACUCUCAAGAUUCCAUAAUAGAUUUUCCAGCAAUCGAAUCAGCUGUUUUCGUUUAGUCUACUUGUUUCUGUUCCAGUUCGAAAUGAAAGUGAAGGGAAAAGAAUCUAGUGCUUGCUAAGAAGCUCCAUAGAGUGUUGGCGGGAAGGGAGUUUACCGCGAUAGGUUAGGUGUAGGUUCAACAACAAGUCUCGUCUCUUUGGGUAGGAGGCCAGUCGUCUCUUUUGGUGUUGUCUACGAUAGAAUACAGAAUGCUUAGCCAAUAAUCAGAAUGCUUAGCUCAUCACACGUAGCGCUUCACUUUAGGCUGUAGGAAUAGUAUCAAGUCAGGGCUAAGUGAAUGCAAGCGGUGUAGUUCGGAUAGUUUCAUCUUAGUAUAGAAUUAACAAUAUCCUGGUGAGUAAGAUGUCUUAGGUGCAGUUUCCAGAUCAGUAGAAGAAUCCGUUCUUGUUUCCUAUGUGCCAGCAGUAAGCAACGAAGCGGUUCUCAAAGUUUCGUUCGAGCAAGGAUCUCUCUAUGUUGGGAGUUCGUCUUCAAGUCGAGUUUUGUUUGCUUGUGCUUACUCCCUAGCAUUAAGAAAAGAAUGGAAAGCAUAACAGAUAGAAUACGCUGGCUAAGAGAAGAGGCUUGAAACGGUUCUGUUCCCUUCUUAUACCUUCAGUAGCUCUAGUUCGCGCAACAGAAUAAUCCGUUUUUCAAAGAAGCUUGAGUAUAGAACAAAGGUAAUUAGAGAUAGAUUCCAUUCAAAGGCAAAAGUCAGGUCAGCAGAGCAGUAAUUAAAGUAGCCCAGAGAGAUAGGUUCAGGUUAAAGUGUCGGGUCAGCAGCACCGUCGAAGUAUUAACCUUCAGAAUGGAGUUGAGGAACAGAACUAACUAACGCACCCACUCCUGGAAAGUCACCUAACAGCAGUGACUCUCUUGUGGCGCCGGCAAACACUUUUUUCACAAUGGAACGUUGCUUGCUUACUUCUUCUCUAAAGAAUGGAAUCUAGCGUUCAUAAAUAAUAAAGAAUCCAGUAACCGGACUCCUGACUGCUUACAGCUCCACCUGCUGACUCCUUACUUACACCGAGAAAGACAAUUUGGAUGUUGCAAAAGGUGAUUGAAGAAUGGAAUUGAGGAAUAUCAUUUGGAAUCAGAGGCUCAAGGAAGCGGAACAAAACCAUGGAAUCUCAUUCCUCUGAAUCAUAAAGAGCUCCAUCCAAGCCAACGGCAGCUGAUUUCCGAUCUCUCACAACCCCCGAAGUAAGACCAGUCGGAGCCGAGACUAAUCUAAACCUUUUAGCAGGGGGCAUCUAGACAGAAAAAGAAGGGACGAGCAAACGAGUGUAUCCGGGCCCGGAUCCGAUCUUGAUUAAGUUCAAUCUUUCUCUUCCGGCAGAGCAUCUCGAUAUCGGGAUCCCCCGGCUCAGGGAUGGCAUCAAAAGUCAGUCCUUCGUUCCUUUUAUCCAGGGAAGAGGUAUGGGGCGGGUCUGGUUACGUACCUCUUGAAAUCGGAAUCAGCCAGACGUCAGGUCAUUAAACCCUUAUUCAGGUGUCCGGGGAUGAUAAUCUUUCGAUAAUGUGCAUGGACCCAAGUAGUUCUUUCUUUGCCAUCCACCAGCCCAUCUCUCGUUCGAAUCAAUCAUCUUCAAUAAGACCAAUGAGCGCNNNNN
RNAcentral lists this long non-coding RNA (2022 nucleotides) under Musa acuminata (dwarf banana). RNAcentral describes it as "long non-coding RNA (MACU_LNC010105)". Lineage: Eukaryota; Viridiplantae; Streptophyta; Magnoliopsida; Zingiberales; Musaceae. The record is from RNAcentral.